Pogonomyrmex barbatus (red harvester ant) is the source of this 662-nucleotide long non-coding RNA. NCBI's taxonomy places the organism in Eukaryota, Metazoa, Arthropoda, Insecta, Hymenoptera, Formicidae. The record is from RefSeq and is a predicted model, not a curated record.
AACUUUUAAUAAUAAUAUAAAAUUGACGUAUAAAAAUAACCAUUACAUCUCCGUAUUUACGAUAAUUAUUAGAUAAACUAUUUUUACUCCCGUAGAUCAAAUUUCAUUGUGAUACGAUACUUGAAUGUAUAGAUAAUAAAUGGUUGAGAGCUUCGCGCUGGCGCAAAACUCCCACCAUGGAUGUCUUCAGCACGCGCUUGGUUCAAGGGGCGAUUCGACAUUUCCACGCCAAAUCGAGUUCGGCUUUUUCCCCGGCACGAAGUGACGCUCCGAUCUCGCGUAAUUGUGAAAGGGAAUAAGACAUAAGGACAUUGUGCACGAUUAUGUGAUGCAGUACACAGGAUCUUUUGAUCUUUUUUCGAGUUUUUACAGACGAACGAGCGCAUCGUGAAUGAAUAAAAACACACAAGUGGUGACAUAUCUGAAUCAAGGGAACUAACAUGAGUGCAAGAAAGUACGUUCUAUCGUAGCGCGUAUUUCCACCCAGGUCAACACGUGGACGAGGGUAAGCAACGGAAGGAUCUUGCAUCGCGAAAAACUGACGACACAUGAAAAAUAUUGACAUUUUCGACAAGAUGUAGACUGAAAUCCGCCAGCAACAUCGAUCGUAAACCAGGAUUACAACGACGAACUUUUAUGGGAACGUCGACACUGCUCGAGGA